Molecule: ribosomal RNA, 451 nt
Filed under: uncultured bacterium
Lineage: Bacteria
Description: partial 16S ribosomal RNA
Rfam family: Bacterial small subunit ribosomal RNA
Source: RNAcentral
GUGGGGAAUAUUGGACAAUGGGGGGAACCCUGAUCCAGCCAUGCCGCGUGUGUGAAGAAGGCCUUUUGGUUGUAAAGCACUUUAAGUGGGGAGGAGGCUUACCUGGUUAAUACCUAGGCUAAGUGGACGUUACCCACAGAAUAAGCACCGGCUAACUCUGUGCCAGCAGCCGCGGUAAUACAGAGGGUGCGAGCGUUAAUCGGAUUUACUGGGCGUAAAGCGCGCGUAGGUGGUUAAUUAAGUCAAAUGUGAAAUCCCCGGGCUUAACUUGGGAAUUGCAUUCGAUACUGGUUAGCUAGAGUAUGGGAGAGGAUGGUCGAAUUCCAGGUGUAGCGGUGAAAUGCGUAGAGAUCUGGAGGAAUACCGAUGGCGAAGGCAGCCAUCUGGCCUAAUACUGACACUGAGGUGCGAAAGCAUGGGGAGCAAACAGGAUUAGAUACCCUAGUAGUCC